Molecule: non-coding RNA, 1456 nt
Organism: Coffea arabica (coffee)
Lineage: Eukaryota; Viridiplantae; Streptophyta; Magnoliopsida; Gentianales; Rubiaceae
Source: RefSeq, a predicted model, not a curated record
AAUUUCCCGUGUGUCUGCGUGGCUCUCAUUCCUUUCUUCUCAUCCGCGUGGCUCUCAUGCUUUUCUUCUCAUUCUUGGCCUGUUCUUGGUUUUGGGAGCACCGCUUCAAUUCCUCGUUCUUCUUCUUAGCUUUCUCUGGCCAGUGGCGGUCAGCAAUUUUCUCUUUUGGUUAUACUGAGUUGUGCCCUGUUCUCUCACCAUCGAAGUUCACUGAUACAAUCGCUCUGUUUUCUCCAUCUCUCCGUCUCUGCUUCACCCUACACAUCGCCGCCCUUUCAAUCACCUACUGAGAGAUGACGCAUUCCAGUUGAACGUUCUCAAGGCGCGCAUGAAAUAAUCAACCGGAUAGCUUUGCUUUUUCUUGCUGCUCUCUCUAAGUUGCUCUACACACUUUUCCAAACCCUGUGCCAAUCCUUUCUUAUGAGAGCUGCUUGAAGAAUUUAAGUAAAACUCAUCUCCAGUAUCUUCGAUGCUUCCAAGUGUGGUGUUAUUCAGCUCAAUAGUGGCUUCGCUCAAACUCCUCAGAUGAGGUCUUCAUGGAAAAAUCUUUCUCAAUACAAAAGGGGAUAUAGCAUAUAUAGGUAUUGCUAUUAAUCCUGAUACCUGAACAAAGUCCGCCGAUUCAGGAAGUGAUCCAAGCUGGUGUUGUCCCUCGUUUUGUUCAUUAUCUUAUUACGGAGGAUUUCCUCAACUUCAGCUUCAAGCUCAUUAUUCCCCAUCCUGCGUACAAAAUGAAGAUUAUAUUUGUUUGGUGUUACGUAUAAAUGUCUUUUUCCAUCCUUUGCAAAUUUGUAGUUUGAGGCAGCUUGGGCUCUCACAAACAUUGCUUCCGGGACAUCUAUGCACACUAAGGUUGUAAUAGACAAUGGUGUUGUUCCCAUAUUCGCACAGCUUCUUAGUUCUCCCAGCAAUGAUGCCCGUGAACAGGCUGUAUGGGCUCCGUGAAACGUGGUUGGUGAUUCCCCAAAAUGCCGUGAUCUUGUUCCUGGUCAUGGAGCUCUAGGUCCUUUGUUGGCUUAGCUAAAUGAGCAUGCAAACUAUCAUUGUUGCGAAAUGCCACGUGGACACUAUCUAAUUUCUGCAGAGGCAAGUUUCAGCCAUAUUUUGACAAGAGAGAAUGCAAAAGUUCAGUUGGAUUACAUACUCAACGUCACCAAAGGCUCGUGUAAUUACGCUGGAUGGAUUGAGAAAAAUUCUCAGGAGUCAUUAGCGUUUAUUUUGAACCUAAAUGAAUUGGUUGGCUAUACUAUUAUAAUUGCCGUUUACUUUUGCUUUAGUUUUGUGUACAAGAUUAAUAUAGUAUAUGCUAGCCCACUAUAGCUGUUAUGUAUAUACAUAUUUUUUCAGAAACGGUAGGAAUUGUAUUAAUGAUUUAAUGCUUUACAUUUGGUGAGCAAAGGCUCCUAAAAGGCUAUACAAAAGUGUUAGAUCACAAGGAUUGUUCCAUUCCUCAUCA